RNAcentral lists this ribosomal RNA (626 nucleotides) under Ammonia sp. genotype T1. RNAcentral describes it as "partial large subunit ribosomal RNA". It matches the Rfam family "Eukaryotic large subunit ribosomal RNA", at positions 43 to 400 of the family's 3401-position model. The record is from RNAcentral. Lineage: Eukaryota; Foraminifera; Rotaliida; Rotaliidae.
UCAGUCAGCGCAGCGUAAUAAUAGAAACUAACCAGGAUUCCCUUAGUAACGGCGAGUGAACUGGGAUACCCAAUAUACCAUCUGUGCGUACCUCGGUGCGUACAAAUUUUAGCCCGUCGAUACUAUCCUAGCAUAGUACUGGCUUCGGCCGGUAACCUAUCUAUGCGCGAAUUGUAGCAUCGUACAAAAAUAUAUUAUACAACGUAUAUAUACGCAACCCACACUUAUAUAUAUUUUUUAUGCGUACACUUACUUUCAUAAACACACAGCGCUCUCGCGUUGGAAAGCAAGUUUAUAUCCUUUUUUGGAUACGCCAUAGAGUGUGACAGCCACGUUUCAACUCUACGUACGUACGUAUACACACGCGUUAUAUACAUACACUGUAUUUUAUAUAUAACCUGAGUCGAGUUAUUUGGGACUAUAGCUCUAAUAGUUUGGUUGGUGGUAAUGACACAUCAAAGGCUAAAUAUUGGUUAGUCGAUGCGUAUACACGGAGACCGAUAGCAUACAAGUACCGUAAGGGAACGAUGAAAAGCACCCUAUUGAGUUCACGGCGCAGACUGUCUUUGCAAUUCGUUGCGAGACGUCUUGCGCCCAACAACUACAGUGGGAGUGAAAGAGAGAGU